Molecule: unclassified non-coding RNA, 696 nt
Filed under: Hevea brasiliensis (rubber tree)
Lineage: Eukaryota; Viridiplantae; Streptophyta; Magnoliopsida; Malpighiales; Euphorbiaceae
Source: RNAcentral
GCAGAAACAGAUCGUAUUUUUUUAUUUUUUUGAAGUGCUAUGAUUUUUUUAACUCUCAUCUUUUGGCAUUAAAUCCCUCAGUAGAAAGUGUAUAUAUAUACUAGAGAAGUGCUAUAUGAAUACAGAAAGUAUAGCUAACUAAUGAUCUACAGUAGUUCGUCUUUCAAAUAUCCAGGGCCUGGCUUGAAGGGGUCAGAGUCCAUGUAUGCUUCUGAGCGAUAAACACCAGCAUCAUUCAUACGAUUACUAAGCACGUGAAGGAUAGCUUUCUUUGCACCAUACUCAUCUCGGUUGUUCUCGACAUACUGUUUGGCCUCUGCUGCAAUCUCAUUGACAAAAUCAAACCGGUUGUCCUCGUUCAGUAAUAAUCUAUGAAUGUCCAUCGUCAAUAGUUUACCCCCAUCCCUUAUCUUCCUCACUUGCUCCUCAAGGAAUGGAAUCCUUUCCAUUUUGGCAUCUAAUGUCUCAUCUUUCUUCGUCAAUUUUCUUCGCCUCCAUAUUCGCCUUUCUCCACGGCCUUCAUUUUUAGAAUUCGACGCACUCUGCGCCCGAAUACACAAGUUCACGCGUUUUUUAUUUUCAAGUGCUGCAAUUCUGGGGAAAGUUUGUAGUGUUGAAAAGCUACUGAAAGUCAGGGUUGAUGCUGCCAUUGUUUUUCGCCCUUCGAUUGUGUUCUUCUCCCUCUGAUAAAAGGGG